ACUGUAUCAGUUUUUGCUUGUUUCCCCAUGACCUUUGGAGCCCAUUCAAAGUCAUCUUCCUUUUGCUUUGCUUUAAAUUCAAUCCCAUGCAUGUUGCCAGCUGAUUUGUUGCCUGUUUUCACACGUCGCCAGCAAAUCACCACCUCUUCAUAUUGUUUAGACAGUCAUCAAAUGUAGGCCUGCCAGCAGUCUUUGUUAACGGAGUAGGAAGGCUUGGUGCAUCCCGCUCAUGUGGCCUGAAAGGAACUGGAAAGCUGCUUGAUUCCAGCUAAUGAAUCUUUAAAGCCCAGCGUGGGACUUUUAUGGCCAGAGCAAAGUCAGGCUUCACUGGACAAAGCCUUUUGGCCUAUUGGUGUGGACCCAAGCUCUGCUUGUCUGUCUCCUGAUACAGACUGUGCUCCACCAUGCUGGAAUUUUGUCCUUCAGAUUGUGCCAGAGGUUUGGCUUGUGCUAGCUCUGGAUGGAGACAGCUUGUAUCAUGGAGCCAGAGGACAGUUGGAAUGGGAAGAUAUAGCAUGGUUAACCAGAAUCCAGACUCAUCUGAGCUCCUUGGGCAUCUCCCACUGCAACA
RNAcentral lists this long non-coding RNA (571 nucleotides) under Gallus gallus (chicken). RNAcentral's name for it is "lncRNA (ENSGALG00010026866.1)". The record is from RNAcentral. Lineage: Eukaryota; Metazoa; Chordata; Aves; Galliformes; Phasianidae.